UGAGGAAUAUUGGUCAAUGGGCGAGAGCCUGAACCAGCCAAGUCGCGUGAAGGAUGAAGGUGCUAUGCAUUGUAAACUUCUUUUGUAAGGGAAUAAAAAGCGGCACGUGUGCUGUAUUGUAUGUACUUUACGAAUAAGGAUCGGCUAACUCCGUGCCAGCAGCCGCGGUAAUACGGAGGAUCCGAGCGUUAUCCGGAUUUAUUGGGUUUAAAGGGUGCGUAGGCGGAAUGAUAAGUCAGUGGUGAAAGUUUGUAGCUCAACUAUAAAAUUGCCAUUGAAACUGUCGUUCUUGAGUGCAAAUGAGGUAGGCGGAAUGUGUUGUGUAGCGGUGAAAUGCUUAGAUAUAACACAGAACCCCGAUUGCGAAGGCAGCUUACUGGGAUGCAACUGACGCUGAGGC
RNAcentral lists this ribosomal RNA (400 nucleotides) under uncultured bacterium. Its description in RNAcentral is "bacterial SSU rRNA". It matches the Rfam family "Bacterial small subunit ribosomal RNA", at positions 355 to 752 of the family's 1533-position model. The record is from RNAcentral.